Molecule: long non-coding RNA, 891 nt
Filed under: Heterocephalus glaber (naked mole-rat)
Lineage: Eukaryota; Metazoa; Chordata; Mammalia; Rodentia; Bathyergidae
Description: lncRNA (ENSHGLG00100049656.1)
Source: RNAcentral
GAUGAAGCUCUCCCUCAGGUGAUGUCUUAAUUUUUGUAACAGUCUAGUUUGAACAGGCGUUAUUUCUGUUAGGAAACCUUGAAAAGUAUUAUUGGAUUAAAAAUACCAGACAGAACUUAAGCACCUCUCUCUACCUAAACUUGACAUGCACACGUAUUUGUCCUACGGACAGCGUGACGGUUCAUCUUGGGCCAUCUGGACGAGGCUGAGGGAUGCCCACAUAGCCAGUAAAACAUCAUUUCUGGAAACAUCGUUGCUGGGUGUGUGGCCUUUGUGGGCCAGACUGGCAGGCGCAGGAAAGGCUACCUGCCCUCACCAAGGCAGGGGCCACCAUCCAAUCCCUCAAAGAUCUUCCUAGGACAGCGGUGAAGGGCGGGCAAACGUGCUCUCUGCUCGAGCUGGGACCUCGCUCUUCUCCCGCCCCGGACAGCGGCACUCCUGCCCCUUGGGUCUCUGCUCCAGUGGCUCACUGGCUCUCUGGCCCUAACACGUGCCCUGGACUCUGCUACCCACUUCUCUGGGCCUCCAGCUGGCAGCUCUCUCAAGAAUCUCCCCAUUAGCCCACCGAACAAGAACAUUCAAGAAAGAGAAUACAGGGAAUGAGUACAGAAAUUUGGAAAGCAAACCACAAAAUCUCCCUCUGAUGUAUAUCCUCAACAUCAGGUACCCCAACACAUAACAAGGCUUUCUGAAAACGAGGAUUACCCUAAAGAUCCCUCUAACAUGAGCUUACUGAUGGCUGAAUAAUGUGGGAACUCUGUCUGAAAGCUUCCAUGCUCUGAACACAUUCAUAAGAUUUGUCCACUGUGUGGGUCUUCAGGGGUCUUACUGAGAGCUGAGCUAAGACUAAAGGCCUUCUCAUUUCACACUCAAAGUCCUUCUCCCCAGCUG